This is a microRNA precursor of Astatotilapia calliptera (eastern happy), 65 nucleotides long. Lineage: Eukaryota; Metazoa; Chordata; Actinopteri; Cichliformes; Cichlidae. The record is from Ensembl.
CAGGUCCGGGAUGUGGUGCGCUGUUGUCAUAUCUCCCCUCCAAUAUUGCACUCGUCCCGGCCUCC